CAGCAGCCGCGGGAAUACGUAGGGUGCGAGCGUUAAUCGGAAUUACUGGGCGUAAAGCGUGCGCAGGCGGUUAUAUAAGACAGAUGUGAAAUCCCCGGGCUCAACCUGGGACCUGCAUUUGUGACUGUAUAGCUAGAGUACGGUAGAGGGGGAUGGAAUUCCGCGUGUAGCAGUGAAAUGCGUUGAGAUCGGAAAGGACACCAACGGCGAAAGCACUCUGCUGGGCCAACACUGACACUGAGAGACGAAAGCUAGGGGAGCAAAUGGGAUUAGAUACCCGCGUAGUCCCUGUCUCUUAUAC
RNAcentral lists this ribosomal RNA (301 nucleotides) under uncultured bacterium. RNAcentral's name for it is "partial 16S ribosomal RNA". It matches the Rfam family "Bacterial small subunit ribosomal RNA", at positions 509 to 807 of the family's 1533-position model. The record is from RNAcentral.